This 465-nucleotide ribosomal RNA is filed under the name Vreelandella stevensii. RNAcentral describes it as "partial 16S ribosomal RNA". It matches the Rfam family "Bacterial small subunit ribosomal RNA", at positions 338 to 795 of the family's 1533-position model. Lineage: Bacteria; Pseudomonadati; Pseudomonadota; Gammaproteobacteria; Oceanospirillales; Halomonadaceae. The record is from RNAcentral.
CCUACGGGUUGCUGCAGUGGGGAAUAUUGGACAAUGGGCGAAAGCCUGAUCCAGCCAUGCCGCGUGUGUGAAGAAGGCCUUCGGGUUGUAAAGCACUUUCAGUGGGGAAGAAAGCCUUGGGGCUAAUACCCUCGAGGAAGGACAUCACCCACAGAAGAAGCACCGGCUAACUCCGUGCCAGCAGCCGCGGUAAUACGGAGGGUGCGAGCGUUAAUCGGAAUUACUGGGCGUAAAGCGCGCGUAGGCGGUCUGAUAAGCCGGUUGUGAAAGCCCCGGGCUCAACCUGGGAACGGCAUCCGGAACUGUCAGGCUAGAGUGCAGGAGAGGGAGGUAGAAUUCCCGGUGUAGCGGUGAAAUGCGUAGAGAUCGGGAGGAAUACCAGUGGCGAAGGCGGCCUUCUGGACUGACACUGACGCUGAGGUGCGAAAGCGUGGGUAGCAAACAGGAUUAGAUACCCUAGUAGUC